RNAcentral lists this ribosomal RNA (468 nucleotides) under uncultured bacterium. RNAcentral describes it as "partial 16S ribosomal RNA". It matches the Rfam family "Bacterial small subunit ribosomal RNA", at positions 28 to 507 of the family's 1533-position model. The record is from RNAcentral.
GACGAACGCUGGCGGCGUGCUUAACACAUGCCAGUCGAACGGAAAGGCCCUGCUUUUGUGGGGUGCUCGAGUGGCGAACGGGUGAGUAACACGUGAGUAACCUGCCCUUGACUUUGGGAUAACUUCAGGAAACUGGGGCUAAUACCGGAUAGGAGCUCCUGCUGCAUGGUGGGGGUUGGAAAGUUUCGGCGGUUGGGGAUGGACUGGCGGCUUAUCAGCUUGUUGGUGGGGUAGUGGCUUACCAAGGCUUUGGCGGGUCGCCGGCCUGAGAGGGUGAACGGCCACAAUGGGACUGAGAUAGGGACCAGACGCCAACGGGAGGCAGCAGUGGGGAAUAUUGCACAAUGGGCGGAAGCCUGAUGCAGCAACGCCGCGUGCGGGAUGACGGCCUUCGGGUUGUAAACCGCUUUCGCCUGUGACGAAGCGUGAGUGACGGUAAUGGGUAAAGAAGCACCGGCUAACUACGUG